CAGCAAAGUUACAAACAGCCCCCAGCCCGCCCGCCCGCCCGGCAGAUUAAUGGGCGCACACAGCCAGCCGGCCGGGCUCUCCUCCCGAACGCCAGCGGCGGGCACGGCCAGUGAAGGGGCGUGCAGAUCAAGCCUGGGGCCUGGGCCUUGCAGUCAAGAGCUGAAUGUUCGCCUGGAGCUCACCAGGACUCAGCCAGAUGUAGGCUCAUCUCUCCAGUACCCAUAUUCCACAUAAACGUUUUGUUUUGAGUCCCACGAGUACCUCUGCAAAGGCCCCUGAAUGUCCAGCUUCAAAGUACCCUCUCAGUUGGGCACCCUUACCUCAAUCCUUGAGCCCAGAGACUGGAGAGGACAGAAACCACUAGUUUAAAGGAAAAAGAAUGGACAGAGGAACAUCUGUGAGACUGGGCUCUGAAGCCAGCUUUGGGACCUGCUCCCCUUGCCCAGUACCCCGGGACUCAGGCUCAGGACUCUCCAUUUGGUGCCUGAACUGCUCAGAGCUGAUUCAGAUAAAAAUCCAGUUGUGGAAUCUUUAUGCUCUUCUUCCAGAGGUUCAGGAGAUGCACGGCCCCUGGCCAAGCUAUGGGUACAGAGGACAAAACAGAAGGGCCCAAGGACAGGGGGAUAAAAUUGAUGGGCUUGGUUUCCAGGGCCUGGACAGCCAGCACUGUCCUGGGGUGCUCCCUCUUUACUGCCCUUCUUAGGACUGCUCUGAGGGCUGCAACCCACAGUUGCUCCAGAACCGGGAAUAGUUAUCUCACUGGAUCCAGAAAUCCUGAAUUGCCUUUACCGCCGCCAUUCCAGGCCUGGCUGUCCCCAGAUAUCACAUGAAAAGCCUGUCCUGGGCUGCUCUCUCUUGCCUGAGAGGGGUGCCUUACAGAUAGCUGACUUUUUACAGCACUUGGAUCAAUCUCCUCGUUUUGUAAAAUGUGGUAUCGGCCCAAUGGCAUUUUUAUGACUGUGUUUGUUGAGCUUGUAAAAUCUCUGAAUUAGCUUUAAAAUCCUCAGUUCUGUGGAGAUUGAAGAAAUACUAUUUACACUAUUUGGUUGGAUUUCUGGAGACUGUUUAUAAGAUCUGUAGAACGCUGGACAAUGCAGGCUGUUCAGUACUUAGUGGGGGAGCUGGCAAUUGACAAUGAUCCCUCAGGAAUCUGGUAACGACUUAAUCUCUUUCUUGCUUUUUGAUUUUUUUAUUUCCUGAUCUCCCUUCCCCCAAAGGGAAAAAAAUUGGGAAAGGACUGUCCUAAGGUCCAUCUUCACCUGGGAGGGCACCCCAGAAGGCGGUUGCAUGUCUGCAAAUGGGUGCUGCAUCUGUAAGCUUUGUCCCUGAGCCCCAGUCAGUCCAUUCAGAAAGGGCCUGAGGUGAGGAUAGAAUCUGACAUUUCCCUCACGUUUCUUUAGUAGAAAGAUUUAAGAAGUGAAAAUGAAAACUCCGAAGUAAAAAAAUAAACGGGGAAUUUUUUAAAACUGAAGAAAAUCAUGUUUGAGUUAUUUUUGGACUGAUUACCAGCUAGUUAUUAGAUAAAAAUGACUGUUUGGGGGGCGUUGAUAAAUGUUUAUAUUUAUAUUUUUCUUUUAUUUCUCCACAUCCCACACAGAGUUGGGGGUGGUGUCAGUUUUCUAUUAUUCGUUAUGAGCUUGAUCUUUUUUACCUACUAAUUGUCCCAGUCAAUGAGAGAAUUUGACUUCUCAGCUUAAGAGGCAGAAAAUAUUUCAUUUCUUAGCUUCUGUAGGCACUAAGAUGGAAAAAAAUACACUAAAUUGAAAUCUUUACGUGUAAGCCAAGCUAGUGCAUAUCAUGUUGGCAGCUGACCAAUUUAUUUCUCCAACCAGCUAUGUAUAUAGGGGGGCGAGGUGUGGGAUAUAUUCAGACAAGAGACGAGCCCCAGACCCACCAGAGAGCCUUUCUGGAAUGAUGAGACUGGCCAACCCUGGGCUCUCCUCUGUCAAAGCCGCAGUAAAGCCAACUUACCUUUUAGCUUCUCUCCAAGGGGGGCAGGAUGUCGAGCAGGGCCCCACAGUCUGUCCUUGCUCUGGGCUGCCCAUUGAGCUCCUCAACCUCUUCCGCCAGCCUAAGGCAAGGCCUGGAAGUAUGUGGGUGUGGGACUUCAAAGGCCACCGCAGUCCGGCUAGAUCGCUAGUCCAGGCCAGAGCCCAAAGCACACAGGUGCAGCCUCUGCCCGUCACAGGCCCUCUACUGGAGCCAAAGUACGCCUUCCUUGCCAUAGCCAGUACUCCUCAGGGCCAGCCAGGCCUGCAGGCCUCAGGACUACAAGUGGCCUCUCCGAUUUCAGAAUCCUAAAGCCAGAGCAUUCCCCGAACCAGCGUCUGUCCCCAAGGCGUCUUGGGACGCUCAGUUUGGACAGAAGCAGCCAUGACGUGCCAGGCAGCCUGUGCAACCAGUCUCCAUGGUGCUGGGGUGUGGGGUGGGGGAGGAAUCGUGUCUAUUCCGGCUUCCAGCUCCUGUCAGGGGUGGCCGAGGCGGGGAUAUUCCUGGCCAAAUAGGCCCUAGGAGACUGCCCCCCCACCCAGGUCCUCUUUGUCCCCCUUUCCCUGCCUGCUGGUAAAUCUCUGAGGGACCAAUACAGCAGUCGCGCCAGGCUGCAAGAAGCGAGCUGCGGCUGGCGCCGGUCCCCGCAAUGGCCACAGCGUGGCAGCAGCGAGCUCCCAGCCCGGUCACAAUAAAUUAUCUGCCCGCGGCAGCUGCAGUCUGGAAGCCAGCGGCCCUAGGAUACAAAUGCGCCGCUUUAUCAGCCCAAAGCGCACCCAGGGCACUGAUGAAAGUCCCAAACAUACACAGCCCCUUCUUAAAUAUCUAAUGCCUACCAACAUAGUACCUCAAGAUGGGAAACAACGAUCAUAACACAACAAACAAACAAAAACAUCCAAACAGUACCCCAGCGAAGAACCUUGGAUCUUUUCUUGUCUCUAUCCCAGGAGUUUCCUGGGCAAAUUUGGUCGAUUCGCACCUAGGCCAAGCUACAGUUCGUGCCAUCACGCUAUGCAAAGCCACUGACAGCCUCAUCCUUCACGCCUCCUGCCAGGCAGCUCCACAGUCCUGUCCCCCUUCGCGGGAGGUGGGGAACGCUGUUGCCAGUCUGCAGUUCCGAGAUGGGUUGGGAGGCGGUCCCCCUAUCGCCCAGAAUCGGUUUUAGUCCUUUCUUCAAGCUUAGCUGUGGGCCCCUGCCACCGCGCUUAAACCGGCCACAACGUCUUUUGCACCGAAACUUCCGGCCAAUAACACCCAGCCAAUUAACCCCAUUCUCUCCUCCAACACAGAAUUCCAACCACGCACCUAGUCCCUCUCUCAACGCUUCAGACACCUCUCUCAUCCGAGAACUCUGCUAAAGGAAGCAGGCGAUCAGCGGAGACCGUUGGCUGAAUUAGUAAGUUUUUGUUUUUCCUGGUUCUACCUCUCUUUCCCCAAAACCAAUUCCCACGGAAUAGAGGUGUUUGCUGAUGUUAAUAAAAUGCCUAUGGAUUAAUGCACUUUGCCUUCACCUCUUCCCACAUUCCCAGGUCGGGAAUUGUCUCCUGUUGGGGAAUUCAAUCAAACUACUUGGGCCAUGAAUGAAAAAAUUAAAAUGCAAACCCAAGAGACUAGUGGGGGAUGCAGAGUACAAGGUCACUUCUACCUAGUGACCUACACCUAGGUCAAUUCUUUUAUUCCCAGGGUCUUCCGGGAAGGGGGGAGAAAGACCCAAGUGGUGCUGCCGCGUGCCAGCGCGCUGUGUCACGGAGAGGAGGGCGCUUACUGCCACGGUGCUCCAGGAAGAGGAGAGAGAGGGAGAGAGUGGUGUGUGUGUGUGUGUUGGGGGUGGUGGUGCUUGGGCUGUAGUGUGUGAUGAGGAUAGGGGACAAGUGUGAAUGGGUGAGUAUGGAUAAGAGUGGAUACGCCCCUCUUCAAAGCCACCCGUACCCUCUCCUACCGCUCCCGCAGCUGGCUGUCACCUCACCACCUUAGCUCCUGUCUCCUCCCCACAUGUCUCACCUUCAGAUGCCGACUCCCAGAAGCUCCUUCUGCUCUGACAGCUGUCGCUUGGGCAGCCCGGGAGACGAAUUGUCCUCCUUCCUGGUGCCAGAGGACGCAGGAAAUUAGCCAGGUUGCGACUUGCAAAGCUGCCGCCUCUGCGCCGGGAAUUGGGCGCGCCCCACCUCCAGCGGGAGCCGCCAGGCCUGGCCUGGCCGGGGCUUCCCCUCGCUCGCCAUCGCCGGACAAAGCGCAGCUGAGCUGGGCUGGAAGGCAGAGCUCUGAAGCAGGCAGGACGCAGCGGAGCAAAAGAAUGCGGCUCUAUUCUCGCAAGGGAAAUUAUAAAAAAGUUCAUGUUCACGGUUCCCAUCCACAUGACCGACAGCGGCCAAUGGAAGGGCCGAACAACUCAUAAAGUUGUAUUGCAAAGUUGUAAA
Nycticebus coucang (slow loris) is the source of this 4407-nucleotide long non-coding RNA. RefSeq lists it as uncharacterized. Lineage: Eukaryota; Metazoa; Chordata; Mammalia; Primates; Lorisidae. The record is from RefSeq and is a predicted model, not a curated record. The transcript is spliced from 2 exons.